GUCCACGCCCUAAACGAUGAAUACUCGCUGUUAGCGAUACACAGUUAGCGGCUAAGCGAAAGCGUUAAGUAUUCCACCUGGGGAGUACGGUCGCAAGAUUGAAACUCAAAGGAAUUGACGGGGGCCCCGCACAAGCGGAGGAGCAUGUGGUUUAAUUCGAUGAUACGCGAGGAACCUUACCCGGGCUUGAAAGUUAGUGAAUCAUUUAGAGAUAGAUGAGUGAGCAAUCACACGAAACUAGGUGCUGCAUGGCUGUCGU
Molecule: ribosomal RNA, 259 nt
Filed under: uncultured bacterium
Lineage: Bacteria
Description: partial 16S ribosomal RNA
Rfam family: Bacterial small subunit ribosomal RNA
Source: RNAcentral